CGCCGGUAAGCGUAUGAUGGCUUCAGCGGUUGAUCUUGAAGUCCCUAUGGGCGGCCUUGCCAAGCCAUGACCCCGGUGCUUUAAGCGCUUCUGCUAAAUUUAUUAUCUUUUUGUUUUUAUGAGGUAUUAGCAGUGAUUACAGGCACCGUUAAAUGGUUUAACGAGAGCAAGGGUUUCGGCUUUAUUACGCCUGAUGAUGGCGGUAAGGAUGUUUUCGUUCAUUUUUCUGCGAUUGAAGGCAGCGGCUUUAAGACGCUGGCUGAAGGGCAGAAGGUUUCUUUUGAAACCCAGAAUGGACCUAAAGGACCUUCCGCUGCCAACGUCAAGGCGGUCUGAUCGCUUGAUAUAUCAAGAUUAAUUAUCCCUGGCGAUCAGAUUGGUAUCGUCAUGAUUCCGGAACCCCGCUCCAUAGCGGGGUUUUUUUU
Thiorhodospira sibirica ATCC 700588 is the source of this 425-nucleotide non-coding RNA. The record is from Rfam. Lineage: Bacteria; Pseudomonadati; Pseudomonadota; Gammaproteobacteria; Chromatiales; Ectothiorhodospiraceae.